UAACGAAAUCAAUAAUGAAAUUUUGCUUGGAAAUGGUUCAAGAAUCUUUACACUGGAAAAGAAGCAAUGUUGCGGUAGAAGAGGCCCGCCAUCCAAAUCCCGAUCAAUUUCCACUUGUCACAUGGGAAAACGUUUGUCAAGCUGUUUUGCUGCUAUUUGUUUCCACGGUGCUAACUCAGCACUCUCAAGGCUUGGCUAGUCUCCGUGGUGUCACCAGCCCUUGCUGUAUGAUACGAUGCGUGAAGCCCAAACAGGAAGUAGUACACCAGCAACCCUAUUGUCCGUAUCUCAGACCUCACGUAUGACCGCCCGUCGAUCGAGCCCAGCAGGAAAACGUUCACUGCAAUGGAAGCUGACAGCAGCCAUGGCACCAAUGGUAUCCCCCAUAGCCUCGGCUUCCUCGCCUCCUUCACACAGCUUCAUCCCCGUGGUUGUGGCAAACCAAAUGGGCAAUGUCAACGCAUACAUUGCUCACCCUCCCUGGCUGAUACCCCAGUAGACUGCUGUCACCGCCGACGAGACUAUAAUCAUCGCCAAGAACCCAAUGAGCUUUUCCCGUUCCGACUCUGAGGUCUCGCCUGACAUGACUAUAAAUACGAUGAUCAAGAGGUGGAGGAGGGUGGCGACGGAGUUGAAACGGGAGGAGGACUUCGUGCCGACGACGGAGAGGGCGGGGACGGCGAUGCUGAUGAGGACCGCCAUCAGGUCGAGGUGGUUGUAGUCCUCGGCGAGCCUCGGCGCUACGAUGCGGAAGAAGUCCGGCUUCUGGUUGAAGAGAGUGGCGAGCUAUGGUAUGACCCAAGACCGCCCCACCGCAGUGCCGCUGACGAUGUACUCGAAGAGGAUGCUGCCAGCCACCAUAAACUCCGCGAAGUCUCCAAGCUUGACUCGCAGGAGAAGAUAGCAAUGGAUGGUGACCUUGUGAGAUCCCGAUCAAGAAUCAAUUGAUAAAGUAAUCGAUGUGAAUAUUCCUAAUUGAUGGCUUGUGAGAGAAUUUAAAGAUUUGAGAUUGAGACAAAACUCUUCUUUUAGCCAUGGAUGUAAUAAUUACCACUUAUUUCACUGUGGCUAUCGCUUUGCACUGCAAGGUUGUAUUCACAAUCAUGGCUAACUCCAUCUUCCAACUCGUUAUUGAGCAUUUUGA
This is a non-coding RNA of Elaeis guineensis (African oil palm), 1144 nucleotides long. Lineage: Eukaryota; Viridiplantae; Streptophyta; Magnoliopsida; Arecales; Arecaceae. The record is from RefSeq and is a predicted model, not a curated record.